AGGAUGAACGCUGGCGGCGUGCCUAAUACAUGCAAGUCGAGCGAACGGACGAGAAGCUUGCUUCUCUGAUGUUAGCGGCGGACGGGUGAGUAACACGUGGAUAACCUACCUAUAAGACUGGGAUAACUUCGGGAAACCGGAGCUAAUACCGGAUAAUAUUUUGAACCGCAUGGUUCAAAAGUAAAAGACGGUCUUGCUGUCACUUAUAGAUGGAUCCGCGCUGCAUUAGCUAGUUGGUAAGGUAACGGCUUACCAAGGCAACGAUGCAUAGCCGACCUGAGAGGGUGAUCGGCCACACUGGAACUGAGACACGGUCCAGACUCCUACGGGAGGCAGCAGUAGGGAAUCUUCCGCAAUGGGCGAAAGCCUGACGGAGCAACGCCGCGUGAGUGAUGAAGGUCUUCGGAUCGUAAAACUCUGUUAUUAGGGAAGAACAUAUGUGUAAGUAACUGUGCACAUCUUGACGGUACCUAAUCAGAAAGCCACGGCUAACUACGUGCCAGCAGCCGCGGUAAUACGUAGGUGGCAAGCGUUAUCCGGAAUUAUUGGGCGUAAAGCGCGCGUAGGCGGUUUUUUAAGUCUGAUGUGAAAGCCCACGGCUCAACCGUGGAGGGUCAUUGGAAACUGGAAAACUUGAGUGCAGAGAGAAGUGGAUUCCAUGUGUAGCGG
RNAcentral lists this ribosomal RNA (669 nucleotides) under Staphylococcus aureus subsp. aureus IS-3. Its description in RNAcentral is "bacterial SSU rRNA". It matches the Rfam family "Bacterial small subunit ribosomal RNA", at positions 26 to 681 of the family's 1533-position model. The record is from RNAcentral. Lineage: Bacteria; Bacillati; Bacillota; Bacilli; Caryophanales; Staphylococcaceae.